UACGAGGGGGGCGAGCGUUGUCCGGAAUUAUUGGGCGUAAAGAGCUCGUAGGCGGCUUGUCGCGUCGGAUGUGAAAGCCCGGGGCUUAACUCCGGGUCUGCAUUCGAUACGGGCAGGCUAGAGUUCGGUAGGGGAGAUCGGAAUUCCUGGUGUAGCGGUGAAAUGACGCAGAUAUCAGGAGGAACACCGGUGGCGAAGGCGGAUCUCUGGGCCGAUACUGACGCUGAGGAGCGAAAGCGUGGGGGAGCGAACAGG
Molecule: ribosomal RNA, 255 nt
Filed under: uncultured bacterium
Lineage: Bacteria
Description: partial 16S ribosomal RNA
Rfam family: Bacterial small subunit ribosomal RNA
Source: RNAcentral